UACGAGUGGUGCAAACGUUAUUCGGAAUCACUGGGCUUAAAGGGUGCGUAGGCGGCUACGAAAGUCAGGUGUGAAAUCCCUCGGCUCAACCGAGGAACUGCGCUUGAAACUGCGUAGCUUGAGGAAGACAGAGGUGAGCGGAACUGAUGGUGGAGCGGUGAAAUGCGUUGAUAUCAUCAGGAACACCGGUGGCGAAGGCGGCUCACUGGGUCUUAUCUGACGCUGAUGCACGAAAGCCAGGGGAGCAAACGGG
This 253-nucleotide ribosomal RNA is filed under the name uncultured Blastopirellula sp. Its description in RNAcentral is "partial 16S ribosomal RNA". It matches the Rfam family "Bacterial small subunit ribosomal RNA", at positions 524 to 776 of the family's 1533-position model. Lineage: Bacteria; Pseudomonadati; Planctomycetota; Planctomycetia; Pirellulales; Pirellulaceae. The record is from RNAcentral.